GCCGAAAUAGCUCAAUUGGUAGAGCAACAUUUUCGUAAAAUGUAUGGUGGAGGUUCGAUUCCUCUUUUCGGCU
This 73-nucleotide transfer RNA is filed under the name Candidatus Azoamicus ciliaticola. It matches the Rfam family "tRNA". Rfam says of the family: Transfer RNA (tRNA) molecules are approximately 80 nucleotides in length. Their secondary structure includes four short double-helical elements and three loops (D, anti-codon, and T loops). Lineage: Bacteria; Pseudomonadati; Pseudomonadota; Gammaproteobacteria; Candidatus Azoamicaceae. The record is from Rfam by way of RNAcentral.